RNAcentral lists this ribosomal RNA (261 nucleotides) under uncultured bacterium. RNAcentral describes it as "partial 16S ribosomal RNA". It matches the Rfam family "Bacterial small subunit ribosomal RNA", at positions 793 to 1055 of the family's 1533-position model. The record is from RNAcentral.
GUCCACGCCCUAAACGAUGUAAACUCGACAUCAGCGAUACACAGUUGGUGUCCAAGGGAAACCGUUAAGUUUACCACCUGGGAAGUACGACCGCAAGGUUGAAACUCAAAGGAAUUGGCGGGGGUCCGCACAAGCGGUGGAGCAUGUGGUUUAAUUCGAUUAUACGCGAGGAACCUUACCUAGGCUAGAAUGUAGUUUGACCGAUCCUGAAAGGGGUCUUUGUAGCAAUACACAGAUUACAAGGUGCUGCAUGGUUGUCGU